GGAAGACUGAGGGGGGCUGCUCCUAGUACGAGAGGACCGGAGUGGACGCAUCACUGGUGUUCGGGUUGUCAUGCCAAUGGCACUGCCCGGUAGCUAAAUGCGGAAAAGAUAAGUGCUGAAAGCAUCUAAGCACGAAACUUGCCCCGAGAUGAGUCUUCCCUGAGACUUUGAGUCUCCUGAAGGAACGUUAAAGACGAUGACGUUGAUAGGCCGGGUGUGUAAGCGCAGCGAUGCGUUGAGCUAACCGGUACUAAUGAACCGUGAGGCUUAACCUUACAACGCCGAAGGUGUUU
This 293-nucleotide ribosomal RNA is filed under the name Salmonella enterica. RNAcentral describes it as "partial 23S ribosomal RNA". It matches the Rfam family "Bacterial large subunit ribosomal RNA", at positions 2656 to 2925 of the family's 2925-position model. The record is from RNAcentral. Lineage: Bacteria; Pseudomonadati; Pseudomonadota; Gammaproteobacteria; Enterobacterales; Enterobacteriaceae.